RNAcentral lists this long non-coding RNA (572 nucleotides) under Brassica napus (rape). RNAcentral describes it as "long non-coding RNA (BNAP_LNC007861)". Lineage: Eukaryota; Viridiplantae; Streptophyta; Magnoliopsida; Brassicales; Brassicaceae. The record is from RNAcentral.
GGAUGAAGAAGUUAUCCCACUUUCGAAUCAGGUGAUUCCAGUUUCCCAGUUUGGGAAUAGCAUAGCUUCUUCAUCGUUCCAAUCAAAGCAAGAUGAAUCACUUUGUGAAAAGCUUGAUUUUGUUGAGAUGAAGACCAAGAAGUGAAGAGAUGAAGCUUUGGGGAUGAAUGAAGUGAGACAGUAACUUUGGAGUUUUUACCAUAGUAACUUUGGAGUUUCACCAUUUCUGGAUAAAGGUAACUAAGUUAGAGCUUGGGAAGUUACCUUACAUCCAUUUGGAGAGUAAAAACGUCCAAGGGUAUUUGGAGAGGAUAAGGAGCACAUGGACAGGCUGUCUUGAGCUGGAAAGGGGAAAAUGCUUUAUUACUAUAGCAAGCAUGUGAGGAAACACAGCCAAGCAUUUCAAAAGGAGUUCCAGCCUGUCCAUUGACUCCACAUGCUUAUGGAUUUCGAAAUUCACUUUAUUAGCCUUAUCUCUUCAUAUAUAUCUUGUAUCUGAAUCAUUAAAUCAAUUAAUGGAGUUUUGAGUCUCUCUCUCUCUAGAAUCUCUCUAUUCUCUCUAAACUUUACUC